UUUGGGACAGCUAGUAGUUCAAAAGUAUGACCACAGAUGGCGUGAAUAACAUAAACAAAAUCAAGGAAAAGCAAGGAAGCAACCUAGAGUCUGGAGAACAUUUCAGAGCUUUUUUUGACAGAUAGUACUUCUUUUUUUGCCAGAUAGCAACUAGCAAGUGAAUUAACUCAGACACAAAUUCAAUUUACGUUAAAAGUUUAUUCAUCGGAUGACCAUAGAAAGUGAAUUAACUCAAGACACAAAAUUAAUUAACGUGACAAGUUUAUUCAUCACAACGAUAAAUUGUAGGCUUCAUCACGGGUUGAACAUUUCAUUCAUCAGAAGACGAAUCGGACACCACAGAAGAGCUGGUGACACCAAAGAGAUUGUCAAGCGUUGUAAUACUAUUAGCUAAGCAAUCGUGCUCUUUGAGAAAGGAUUCAAGUUCCACAAAUUUCUUUUGUCUAACCAGAGUCAUAAUCAUUCCGGCGUGAAUUCUUGCAUUAGGGAAAGCAAGAGCAUUUGAAGCAAUUAUUUGCAUAUUACUUCGAACAGAGCAGUUCUCGAAGAUGAUGUGCAAAGCGUAUUACAAUCAUUUGAAAACCUAUUCACUGAAGAAGGAUGGAAACAACUAAUGACAAACAUUCAUGAACAAAAUCAAACAACACUGGAAUACAUCUGUCCAACUUGCCGCAAACCUGAAGGCACCAAAAAAGAACCUUGGAUUUUCUGUGAGUCAUGCCAAUUGUGGCAUCACUACAGCUGUCAAGCCAUUAAAAAACAAACACAAUCAAGCAAUUAUACCUGUACAAUCUGUCGAAAGUCGAAAUAAACAAUUGAUUCAGGUUAAACUGAAAUCCUUCAACGAAGG
Molecule: long non-coding RNA, 850 nt
Organism: Daphnia pulicaria
Lineage: Eukaryota; Metazoa; Arthropoda; Branchiopoda; Diplostraca; Daphniidae
Exons: 2
Source: RefSeq, a predicted model, not a curated record